CUGCGGUCUAUCAGGUCGUAGUGGGUGUAAAGUACCUACUAGCCUACGACGGAUACGGGUUGUGAGAGCAAGAGCCCGGAGAUGGAUUCUGAGACAUGAAUCCAGGCCCUACGGGGCGCAGCAGGCGCGAAAACUUUACAAUGCGGGAAACCGUGAUAAGGGGACACCGAGUGCCAGCAUCAUAUGCUGGCUGUCCAGGUGUGUAAAAUACACCUGUUAGCAAGGGCCGGGCAAGACCGGUGCCAGCCGCCGCGGUAACACCGGCGGCCCGAGUGGUGAUCGUGAUUAUUGGGUCUAAAGGGUCCGUAGCCGGUUUGGUCAGUCCUCCGGGAAAUCUGAUAGCUUAACUAUUAGGCUUUCGGGGGAUACUGCCAGACUUGGAACCGGGAGAGGUAAGAGGUACUACAGGGGUAGGAGUGAAAUCUUGUAAUCCCUGUGGGACCACCUGUGGCGAAGGCGUCUUACCAGAACGGGUUCGACGGUGAGGGACAAAAGCUGGGGGCACGAACCGGAUUAGAUACCCGGGUAGUCCCAGCCGUAAACGAUGCUCGCUAGGUGUCAGGGACGGUGCGACCGUUUCUGGUGCCGCAGGGAAGCCGUGAAGCGAGCCACCUGGGAAGUACGGUCGCAAGGCUGAAACUUAA
RNAcentral lists this ribosomal RNA (644 nucleotides) under Methanosarcina sp. enrichment culture clone A2-7. RNAcentral describes it as "bacterial SSU rRNA". It matches the Rfam family "Archaeal small subunit ribosomal RNA", at positions 215 to 859 of the family's 1478-position model. Lineage: Archaea; Methanobacteriati; Methanobacteriota; Methanomicrobia; Methanosarcinales; Methanosarcinaceae. The record is from RNAcentral.